This 309-nucleotide unclassified non-coding RNA is filed under the name plant metagenome. Its description in RNAcentral is "partial contains 5.8S ribosomal RNA, internal transcribed spacer 2, and large subunit ribosomal RNA". The stretch from base 1 to 105 matches the Rfam family "5.8S ribosomal RNA", at positions 50 to 154 of the family's 154-position model. The record is from RNAcentral.
GAAAUGCGAUAAGUAGUGUGAAUUGCAGAAUUCAGUGAAUCAUCGAAUCUUUGAACGCACAUUGCGCCCCUUGGCAUUCCAUGGGGCAUGCCUGUUCGAGCGUCAUUUGUACCCUCAAGCUCUGCUUGGUGUUGGGUGUUUGUCCCGUCUCCGCGCGUGGACUCGCCCCAAAGUGAUUGGCAGCCGGCGUACUGGUCCCGGAGCGCAGCACAUGUCGCGCAAACGAGUGCCUUGGUACGGCGGCGUCCAUAAGCCCCUCUCUCACGCUCUUGACCUCGGAUAAGGUAGGGAUACCCGCUGAACUUAAGC